RNAcentral lists this small nuclear RNA (70 nucleotides) under Podiceps cristatus (great crested grebe). RNAcentral describes it as "U4 spliceosomal RNA". It matches the Rfam family "U4 spliceosomal RNA", at positions 1 to 70 of the family's 138-position model. From Rfam's summary of the family: U4 small nuclear RNA (U4 snRNA) is a component of the major U2-dependent spliceosome. The structure of U4 snRNA from yeast and human has been reported. U4 snRNA presents a k-turn RNA motif in the 5p-SL related to recognition of Snu13 protein. The record is from Rfam by way of RNAcentral. Lineage: Eukaryota; Metazoa; Chordata; Aves; Podicipediformes; Podicipedidae.
AGCUUUGCGCAGUGGCAGAAUCGUAGCCAAUGAGGUGAAUCCGAGGCGCGAUUAUUGCUAAUUGAAAUAA